GGAAUCUUCCACAAUGGACGCAAGUCUGAUGGAGCAACGCCGCGUGAGUGAAGAAGGUCUUCGGAUCGUAAAACUCUGUUGUAAGAGAAGAACGUGUGUGAGAGUGGAAAGUUCACACAGUGACGGUAACUUACCAGAAAGGGACGGCUAACUACGUGCCGG
Molecule: ribosomal RNA, 162 nt
Filed under: uncultured bacterium
Lineage: Bacteria
Description: partial 16S rRNA
Rfam family: Bacterial small subunit ribosomal RNA
Source: RNAcentral